CGCGUAGGCGGCCAGGUAAGUCAUAUGUGAAAGCCCGGGGCUCAACCCUGGAAGUGCAUCUGAAACUGCUUGGCUUGAGUAUGGGAGAGGGAAGUGGAAUUCCUGGUGUAGAGGUGAAAUUCGUAGAUAUCAGGAGGAACACCGGUGGCGAAGGCGACUUCCUGGACCAAUACUGACGCUGAGGCGCGAAGGCGUGGGGAGCAAACA
RNAcentral lists this ribosomal RNA (207 nucleotides) under uncultured bacterium. RNAcentral's name for it is "partial 16S ribosomal RNA". It matches the Rfam family "Bacterial small subunit ribosomal RNA", at positions 568 to 774 of the family's 1533-position model. The record is from RNAcentral.